This 253-nucleotide ribosomal RNA is filed under the name uncultured bacterium. RNAcentral's name for it is "partial 16S ribosomal RNA". It matches the Rfam family "Bacterial small subunit ribosomal RNA", at positions 524 to 776 of the family's 1533-position model. The record is from RNAcentral.
UACGUAGGGGGCAAGCGUUGUCCGGAUUUAUUGGGCGUAAAGAGCGUGUAGGCGGCCAGGUAGGUCCGUUGUGAAAACUCGAGGCUCAACCUCGAGACGUCGAUGGAAACCAUCUAGCUAGAGUCCGGAAGAGGAGAGUGGAAUUCCUGGUGUAGCGGUGAAAUGCGCAGAUAUCAGGAAGAACACCCGUGGCGAAGGCGGCUCUCUGGUACGUGACUGACGCUGAGACGCGAAAGCGUGGGGAGCAAACAGG